This 154-nucleotide ribosomal RNA is filed under the name Neisseria sicca. RNAcentral describes it as "partial 16S ribosomal RNA". It matches the Rfam family "Bacterial small subunit ribosomal RNA", at positions 1382 to 1533 of the family's 1533-position model. Lineage: Bacteria; Pseudomonadati; Pseudomonadota; Betaproteobacteria; Neisseriales; Neisseriaceae. The record is from RNAcentral. RNAcentral also lists the same sequence under 1 other name.
UGUACACACCGCCCGUCACACCAUGGGAGUGGGUUGUACCAGAAGUAGAUAGCUUAACCUUCGGGAGGGCGUUUACCACGGUAUGAUUCAUGACUGGGGUGAAGUCGUAACAAGGUAACCGUAGGGGAACCUGCGGUUGGAUCACCUCCUUACC